GAUGAACGCUGGCGGCGUGCCUAACACAUGCAAGUCGAACGAAAGGACAAGACGCAUGCGUUCCUGCGGUUGGCAGUGGUCGGAUGGGUGACCCGUAGAUUACCUCCUUCUUAUUCUGGGAUAUCUACGGGGAUCAGCUUCUGAUACCACAUUAUAUUCCGCACAGGAUGAUUCAACAGUAUUAUGCGGUGUUACUGUCUCCGUUAGAUGGAUCCGCACUCGCUUAGUUAGUUGGUAAGGGAACGGCUUACCAAGGCAACGAUGCGUAGCCGACCUGAGAGGGUGAUCGGCCACACGGGAACUGAGACACGGUCCAGACUCCUACGGGAGGCAGCAGUAGGGAAUCUUACGCAAGGGGCGAAAGCCUGAUGGAGCAAAACCGCGUGAGUGAUGAAGGACUUCGGAUCGUAAAGCUCUGUUGUUAGGGAAGAACAUAUGUGUAAUAAACAGUGAAGAUAUUGACGGUACCUAAGCAAGAAGCCACGGCUAACUACGUG
RNAcentral lists this ribosomal RNA (497 nucleotides) under uncultured bacterium. Its description in RNAcentral is "partial 16S ribosomal RNA". It matches the Rfam family "Bacterial small subunit ribosomal RNA", at positions 28 to 507 of the family's 1533-position model. The record is from RNAcentral.